GUUUACAGGCCAGCACGAGAGGAGCCAGGAGUUUUCACUCCUAAAUCAAGAGGUUUCCAGAGAAAGUGAAGGUGCCACCAGAAGUCUAGCCUGGAUGCCUCGAUCAGCCCCUGCCUGCUGUCCAGGAAGCUCUUCUGUUACAAGGCUCUAUUUCUGGAAAAGCCCAUGGAUUGAAGAUGAGCAAAAGUGGAAUUGGUGUGUAUGUCUGGAUCUGGUGGCAUGCGUCAGGAUGUCUGAAGUAGAAGAGAUCUCUCUCAUUUUAGCCAAAGGCUUGGCCAGCAUUCCUUGCUUUUAUGUCCCUGGGAGUGUGACUGUCAGAGGGAGGGGAGUAUAAGGCCCAUGAGCGAGCUAGACUUUCAGUUACAUCUUCUCCAGCGCUUGACGUGCCUUGUCAAUUACACCUGCCCAGCUUCUGUAAGAGCUUGUCUUUGACAGGAGCCCAGAUAUGUGGGCACGAUGAAGAGGACCCUGGCAAUCCUCAAGAAAGGUGGCGGGUGCCGCUCUCCAUCUGUGUGAAGGCAUUCCAUCGUCCAGGUGCAGAUAAACAUGUUUGAGCUUCAGCAACACCCACAUGAGUAUCUGUUCUCCCACCUUACACAAUAGCACCUUACAGAAAAACGACCAGGACUUCAAGUGUCGUCAGCUGGGCCCUGCGGGGAGGAAAAGGCCAGCUGAUCAUGGAAGCCACCCCAGUUUAGUGCAAGGGGGACUGGCUUUAUUCAAGCAACCCUGGUGAAUUUCCAGCCCCGCUGAGUGAUGCUGGAAGCCAUCGAAGCCUUCAGGGCUGGCCUAAAGACAAAAAGCUUCACCUACAGAUGUUCCUGAAUGGCAGCGGGGCCCUUGGGCGUAGGAAGCUCUCCCUUUGAAGAUGGCUGACAACAGCUCUCAAGGUGUGGGGCUCCUGCCUUCAAAUACAGCGGAAAAAAGAGAAGACCCGGGCAGAGCCUCAUCGCAUCUCACCAUCUCUGAAUGCUAACCAGGAGCCUGUCCCUCAACCAAUCAUAGUUCCAGAAGCAUAGGAUAUACUGAUUGGCUUAGACUCAGGUCACAUGACCCACUCCAGAGCCAAUGAGAAUAGAGGACUGGAUGACUGCCUAGUGAUCUAAGGACUGAUCUCUGCUACUUGAAGAGUUGAAUAUCAUAGAAACGACAGACUAGGGAAGUGAUGGUGUGUAUAUACUUUACAAGAAAUCCUACAAAUACCGUCGUACUUUCAGUGAAGAUUUAGCUAGCCGUUAAAGUUUCCAACUGGCAUAUCACCAAAAUUAGUGGGGGAUUUAGAUUCCAUAAGUUUGAGUGGGACCCACUGAGUAUAAUAAAUCUGUUAAUUCGAUCAUUUUUAAGAUGAACCAAAUGUCUUGGAAGAUCAGAUGGAGUCGGGCACCCUCCUAUGCACCCCUGCUACUGGCACUCCAACUCCAACCCUAUGUCUAUGCCUGUAUAUUCUGCCUUGUACUAUAGUGUUUCUGUGUGGGCUUUUCUUGCCCUUUCAAAACAAUAAACCCUUGGAGGAGGGGGAUCUUGGUGUCCCUUGAGCUCCAAACUUCACAGUUCCUACUACCUUGCUUUAGGCAUAAGAGGUGCUCAAUUAUAUUUGUUGUUUGGAUCAAAGUAUGAGUGAAUGGAACACUUACACUCUCCCUUUUCUUCUUCUUCUCUUUGUUUUUGGCAUUUUCCCCCCAAGAUGUCUGUCCUUGGAGUUUGUUGUAGCAGACUCUAGCCUGAUUUGCUACAAGGCCUUGAGAUGUUAUUUCUGCAGGGUUGCUUAUGUUUUAAGAAGUUGUUGGAAGGUAUGACAUUUUAAAAUCAUAAUGGUAAGCAGAAGCAAAAAAAAAAAAA
Molecule: long non-coding RNA, 1839 nt
Organism: Suricata suricatta (meerkat)
Lineage: Eukaryota; Metazoa; Chordata; Mammalia; Carnivora; Herpestidae
Exons: 4
Source: RefSeq, a predicted model, not a curated record